UACGGAGGAUCCGAGCGUUAUCCGGAUUUAUUGGGUUUAAAGGGUGCGUAGGCGGCCUUUUAAGUCAGCGGUGAAAGUCUGUGGCUCAACCAUAGAAUUGCCGUUGAAACUGGGGGGCUUGAGUAUGUUUGAGGCAGGCGGAAUGCGUGGUGUAGCGGUGAAAUGCAUAGAUAUCACGCAGAACUCCGAUAGCGAAGGCAGCUUACCAGACUGCGACUGACGCUGAAGCACGAGAGCGUGGGUAGCGAACAGG
Molecule: ribosomal RNA, 253 nt
Filed under: uncultured Parabacteroides sp.
Lineage: Bacteria; Pseudomonadati; Bacteroidota; Bacteroidia; Bacteroidales; Tannerellaceae
Description: partial 16S ribosomal RNA
Rfam family: Bacterial small subunit ribosomal RNA
Source: RNAcentral